AGAACACACUUCCACGUCAACUUUCAUCUUCAAUCGCGCGAUAACAGCUGGUCGAGCCUGCGAUCCCCCCGAUUCUCUCACGAAUAUUGUUCUUCAUUUCAUGAUCAUCUGACUUAUAUUAAUAAUACAUUCUUAGCAUUCUGUUUCCCUCAUCUUUCCAAAAUGUUUCCAAGCUUCUUCUUUGAUAUUCGAACCCAGUCAUUGCUUUGCUGAAAAAUUUCCAUGUAUUUGAUUAUUCUUUCUUCCCUACAACGCGGUUUGCUAUGACUCUGUUAUGGUAUUCAAGUUUGAGCUUCUCCCAUUUCACCCAUCACCAAAUUUCGAAUCAGUUUUAAUUAUUUCAUGGCGCCGAGAAAGAUGAAGUUGCAGAUACAGCAGCAAUUGGUGGCGCAGAAACCAGAAAUGAAGCUGAAGGGUUUCAAGCAAAAUGCCAAACGCUCCAGGCAUCACAUAUAUUAUAAUAAGGGUAAACACAUAUUAUUAUUUAUUAUUAUCUAAUUUAGUUAAGAUUUAUUAGAGAAUGUAUUAGAUAUUUGUAGAUACUCUAGUAACUAAUUUCUAUUUGAUGAUGGGCUAAUUAGAAAUUAGGGGUAAUGUGCCAAAGUUAUAUAUAUUAAGGUUAUGAUCCUAAAUUACACCUAAGUUAAACUUUUUUAAUAUCACAUCUUUAGAAUAGAGAGAGUUACUCUUUUCAAGAUUACUUGUAUGACCUUGGUUUACAGUUUUAUGUUUAUAUUAGAUCUUGUUUUUACGAUUCUAACAAGUGACAACCGAGCCUAAUCAUGUUGAAUCAUUGAGAAUGAAUUGAUUCUCUAUUAUUUUUUGACUGAUUUAUUUUUCAGAUGUUAUAAAUUUGAUAUUUCGAUUAUAAACCUUAAAUAUUUUAAAUUUAUAUUAAAGAUUUUAGGAAUUGGGCAAGUGAUGAUAUUUAUGAGGAUUGAUGUUGAAAUGGUAGGGGUUUUAAUUUUUUUUUUAUGAAUUUGGUUUUUGAGGAAAUUGUUGUGUGAAUCAAAUUAUAGUUUAUUUAUAUUAAAGUUUUGUUAAAAGUCAUGUUGAUGUUUGGGUUUCAUUAUGAAACCAUAUACAUUGAUUUUUCUUUAACUAAUUAUGCAUUCAUUUUUUUCUUAAAAAAAGGAUUUUUUUUUUGUUUUAUUCUCGAAUAAACCUUAACGUAGAAUUUGUUGGGCAGUUAAAUUCUGCUAAUAUUCGAAUUGAAUUUAAAUUAUGAAUAAAUCAUCUAUGUUUCAACCGUGUUGCUUUGGUGUUAAUUCUGUUCUUUAAUGGCAUUAGAUAAAUAAGUCUGCCACGUUGGCAAAGUUAAGAAUGAAUAAAUUUAAUUUAGUACUCAAUGUAGCGAGUUCUUAUGGUUUUGAUUUUUAUAUUUAGGUAAAAUACAUAUAUAUGUGUUUGUAUUAAACUCUUGUUUGAUUCAAUUUAGUUUUGGAUUAUUGUUAUGGUUAUCAACUUUCGUCAAAUUAGUUUAAUGGACAUUCGUUAAAGGUGUUAUUGUUUUGAUGUGGAUAUAUAUAUAUAUAUAUAUAUAUAUAUAUUUGGUUUAAACUUUUGUCAAUUAUAAUAUAUAUUUAAAGAAUUUGGUUUUAAGUUUGGUUCUAUAAUUUUAGGUUUUGGCAUCUUAUUGUUCCAAAUAUUUGGUUAAAUUAUGAUGAUAUGAUUUAUUGUACAAGUUGUGGUAUAUGUCAAUUAUUAUUAUUUUGAUUUUGAAAAUUUUAGUUUAAUAGUUUUAAAUUUUAUAUGCUUUUGGAUCAAAUGCAGUAAAUGAUUUAUGGAUUUAUGCUAUUAUUAAAAAAAAUAUAUAUUUUUCGGUUACAAAUUUUUUUUAAGUAUUCAUGCAUAUAAAGGUUUUUUUAUGCUAACCCACUUAAUUAUAAAUUCAGUUUUGGAGUUAUAUGUAGAUGUAGAGUAAGUUGGUAAUAUUUUUAUUAUAUGCAUAUAUAUAUCAAUGAAUUUAAGGGAAUAAUGCAUGAUUUUAUUUUGCAUGAAUUGAUAUUGAUUUUAACGGCACGAUUAUAAACUUUGGUCGAAUUUAGUUUUGACAUAUAUGGUUUAAAAAAAAUUAGUUGAAGAUUAAGGUUUUCGGGUUUUUAAUUGCACUAUUAAGACAACUUUAUUUUGGGUUAUUUGGAAACUGUAGUGCAAUAACAAAAUUUAGUUUUGAUAUUUGACUAUUGGGUAAAUUUUAAAUUUGAAUAUUGAUAUAAUUAUAUAUAUUAAAAUAACUUAAUUGAAUCAAUAAGUCGCCAAAGUGAUCUUUUUUGUAUAAAUUAUUUUGUUUUAAAAUAUAAAAGGUUGUAUGCAUGUAACUUAAGUUACGUUAAUAUUGAUCGGCCCAAAUGAAGGCUAAUAAUAUUACAUAUGCAACUAUGGUAAUAAACAUGUGACAAUUAUUUAGUUUUACAUGCGAGCAAUAAAUUGGCCCAAAGGAAGAUUUAUGGUUCAACAUGUUCUUAUUGUUAAUGUUUGAUUAUUACACCAAGAUAUCACUUACAAGUUAAUAUUUUGUCCAAAGAUGAAAUAUUAAUGGAGUGUCUGAUAUCUUAAGAUGAGGUUUACCUUUAUUUAAAUUUGAAGUCUUAUGUGAGGUUGUUUAUGAUUUAUUCAACUAUUAUUAUAUUUGCCAACAUCAUUGUAUGUUAUUUUGGGAUAAAUAUAUACACAUAUAUAUACUAUUAUCUUUUAAUUUGAUUGAAAGAUGAAAUUAAGAGAAAUAUUUUGAAACAAAUAAAUUCAUUUUUUGGCUUUAGGUUUUAAUUAAAGAUGUCUAAUAUUUUAAAUAGAUUAGUUGAAACAAAAUGUCGCCAAAGUGACAUCUUUUGUGUAGAUUAGUUUAUUUAAAAUAUCAAGAUGAUUAUACGUUUUUGUGAUUCAUGCGUUUAUUAAUUGACUCAACGGUAAGUUAAUAUAUGACAGAAUUUCAACGACAUCUGUGGUGAUAAAUGUGUGGCAAUUAUAAGGUAAUUUAUGUGAACAAUAAGUUAGUCUAAAGAGUAAUUCAUUGUUUGACAUAGUUUAUUGUCAAUGUUUGAUUGCUGCAACAAGAGUACCAUUUACUGUUAAUAUUACUGUCCAAAAACUUGAUAUUAAUGUUGUGUUUGGUAUCUUGAGAUGGGAUUAGUCAUUAUCUUGAAUUUAUUAUUUACUUAUGAAUAUUGAUGUAAGCUUAUUUUUAUUUAUUUUUGUUCUAUAUUCAGCUAGUUCAUCUUUUGCUGCCAUAAUAUUGCUAACAUAACUUCUAUACCCAUGCUUAAUGGGAUUAAUUUCAAGGAAUGGAAAAAGACACUUAUAGUGCUUGGUUGUAUGGACAUAGAUCUUGCACUAAGGGAAUAACAACCCUCACCUUUCACUGCGGAAAGCACCCCUGAUACAAAUAGGGAUUUUGAGAUGUGGGAUCGUUCAAAUUGCAUGAGUCUAGUGAAUAUGAAGCAUAACAUUCCAGAAGCCUUUAAGGGCACAAAAUCUGAAAAGAUUACUUAGGCCAAGGGUUUCCUUGACGAAAUUGAGAAAUGUUUUGCUAAAAAUGAUAAGGUUGAGAUGACUUCAUUUCUGACUUCUUUGAUGUCUAUGAAGUAUAAGGGUCAAGAAAAUUCUGAGCGAUCUAGGGGCUAUGAGUUUUAUGAUCCCACAAUUAAGAAUAUUUUUGAGACAAAAAUUGCAACAUUUUUUAGGAUGUUGAGUUUGGAGGGAGAAAUAAGGUUAGAGACAUUGUUUUUGAGGAGGAAUUAAAUUCUAACUCAGUUCCUACUAUCACUUUUGAUGAUGUUCAAGUCUUCAUACCUAUCAUUAAUCAAAAAGUGAAUCUAGAACCUUAACAAGACAAUGUUAAACAACUCCCUAUUUAAGAUGAGGUAAUUGUUCCAGAAGAACAAACUGAACAACCUCAAGAACGAAUGUCAUUAAAAAGGCCCACUAGAGAAAGGGUUAUAAUGGCUUUAAUGGAAUAUUUUUGACCUUAAACUGUAUUAGAUGAAUGUUAAGUUAAUGGUUUCUUAAUGGUAACAUUGAUUAUACAUUUAUAUGGUGGAACUAGAAAACUGUGUCUGAUGAUGCAAAGUUAAUGACUUGGAAAUUCAAGAACUCCAUCUAUGGGCUUAAGCAAACUUCUCGUCAAUAGUUUUACAAAUUUUACCAGAUGAUUAUCUCAUUCGGUUUAGAGAUGGAUUUGGUAGAUAACUGUAUAUACCCCAAGUUCAGUGGGAGUAAGGUUCUGUAUUUGGUUUUAUAUGUUAAUGGCAUACUGCUUGUCAAUAAUAAGUUAAGUCUCGACCAAUACCCCAAGAAUGAUUUUGAGAUUAAGGAAAUGCAUAAGAUUCCUUACGUCUCAAGGGUGGGGAGUCUAAUGUAUGUUUAGGUUUGUACACAUUUGAAUAUUAUGUACACCAUUGGGAUGUUAGGUAGAUAUUUAAAAAACCUUGGUUUGGACCUUUGGAUAACAUCCAAGAGAGUUAUGAGGUAUCUUCACAGAAUAAAAAUUACAUGCUCACAUAUUAGAGGUUUGAUAAGUUAGAGAUCAUCUAGUACACAGACUUUGAUUUUGAUGGAAUAUUGACACAAAAUUUUGUCACUAGGGUGCAAAUUGUGACAAUAGUUGGUAGUCCUUUAUUCCAAUAACAACAGGAGCACAUCAAAGUCAAAGCACAUAGACUUUAAGUUCCUAGUUGUUAAAGUGAAAUAUCAAAGUGGUUAGGUUUCUAUAAAGCAUAUUAGGACAAACUCCAUAAUUACGGAUCCGCUUACUAAGGGACUACACCUAAGGUUUUUCAGGAGCACAUUGCUCAUAUAGGUGUAAUGUCAUUUAAGGAUAUUUGGUUUUAGUGGGAGUUUUUACUUUUAAAUGCUUUUAUGUUAUAGACACAUUUUCAGUUAUUUUAGUUUAUGGAUAUCAAGUUUAUUUUCUAUAGAAAUAACGUUUAUUUGGUUUAUUCACACUCUGGUUUUGGUAAGGUUUGAUCUCAUUAAGGCUUCAGAAGGACCAUUUGAAAAUAGACAUGUUUAGAUCAUAUUGCAUGUAAUUUCCAUGCUACACAUCCAUACUUGAUCUAUGUCAUUUGGCUGUGUUAAUAUACGUGAUCAAUGAUGGAUUUAGUUACGAUAUAUGUAACGAAAGUCGCAUUGGUUCUAUGUUAACAUAAUUAAUGGGUAAGAUUGUUCAGAAUACCUUUUGGAUAUGAUAGUAAAUUUUUGAGCUCAUAAGGUUAUAUAAUGACAUGUAAUUAUAGAGUAAUUAGUAUAUAUAUGUGGUCCAAGUGGGAGAUUGUUGGAAAAUAUAGACAUCACAUAUAUAAUAAAGGUAAUUACAUGUUAUUAUUUACUAUCAUAAUAGGUUAGCCCAAAUGAAAAGUGAUCUAAUUUGGUUAAGGUUUAUUGGGCUUUAAUUAUUAAAUAAAGUAUAGGUCAAAUAUGUGUAGAUACUCUAGUAACUAAUUUCUAAUUGAUGAUGGGCUGAUCAGAAAUUAAGGCUAAUGUGCCAAAGUUAUAUUUAUUAGGGUUAUAAUCCCAAAAUUACACACAAUGUAACUUUUCUAAUAUCCCAUCUUUAGAAAAGAGAGAGCCACAUUUUCAAGAUUACUUGUGUGCUAAUUUUGAAGAUCAAAUCCCCAAGAUAUGAAAAUUUUCAAAGAAUCCAUGGAUUCAGGUACGUUUCUGCAUCUAGUUUUGUUAUCGAUUUGUUCUUGAUGAUUUGACAUGACAGAUCCUAGUUGACAGUUUUAAGCUUAUAUUAGAUAUUGUUUUUACGGUUCUAACAAGAUGAGCAAACAAAAAUAAGAGCAAAGUUUGUAGAGUUUAAAAGGUAAUGUGAUAGAAUGAAACAAGAGACUGAAAUGAUGAUUAAACGAACAACUAGGACCCAACUCAAGCUAACUCUCAUGUUCAGUAUCUUUAAAGCAUGUCAAGGUGGAUAUUUUGUUAAAGUUACUGAGUUCACUUACUUGCUUCGGUUAGUUUAAUUAAUUUCUCAUUACAUAAAACUAUAUGUAAUUCAUGUCAUUAAUUAAGAUUGCAGGUAAACUUGCUUUUGUUUCUAAAUUUUGGUAGCAGUGAAAUUGUUGGUAAGGAAAAAGCAUAUGCAAGUUUGAAUCAAGUGAAAGAUGAAACCUAGCGUGAAAAAGUAUGCAACAAAUAGAGAAGAAGACGAAAACUUAAAGACAUUAAGAAGAACUGAAAAGAUAAAAGAACUUAGUAUGAAAAGAUUUUAGUGUUUCAUUCAAAAGAUUCUAAAAUCUCAGCAAUGGAGAUGAAUCAUAUUUAUACACAGAGAUAAAAGAGUGAAUUGAAAAAUAAAAAAAAUAAUUGAUUCUUGAAUCAAAUACAACAACAAACUUCUUAAUUGUACUAACUAAUCUUCAACCGACACUAACAGCUUAACUGUAACCUUUAGCUCACUAUUUGAUUACAAUCACUCACUACUCACUAAUAUUCAUCCAACUUUUUUUUACUUCCAUGGAGCCUUGUAACAUUCACCUAGCUUGUUGAAGUUCUGCUAACUCUUGUAGCCUUGCUAAAGACAGAACUCCCAGUUUGCUUUUGAAGUGAGUAAAGGAUGUAACAAAUAAGGUUUGGUGAACACAUCAACAAUUUGAUCAUUGGCUGAAACCUGGCCAACUACAAGCUUACCUGUAGCAACCUUCUCACGAACAAAAAACAAGUCUAGUUCAACAUGUUUAAACUUAGAAUGCAACACGGGAUUGGUUGCAACAUCCACUAUGCUAGAAUUAUCACACCAAAUAGUAGUUUUGUCUAUAAAAGAAACUUGCAACUCACUAAGUAAUGAUUCCAACCAAAUUAUAUCACCUAUAGCAUAAGAAAUGUUUUAGUACUCAGCCUUAGCAGCUGACCUAGAAACAACCUACUAUUUCUUAGCACACCAAGGCAUCGAAUUUGUAACAGCCCGAUUCUGGGUCUAAUCGGAACAGUGGUUUCGGGACCACAAAUCCGACAAGGGAAAAUAUGAUUAUUAUUAUAUUUUUAUAUUUUUAUGGUCUACAAUUUUACGGAAAAAUUUCGUUAAAAAAUUUCGACGUUUGGGCACUCAAUUUAGUCAAAAGGACUAAAUUGUAAAAAGUGCAAAAGUUGAGUUCUACAUGUUAGAAGUGUCAAAUUGUUAUGAAAUUCUAAAUUGGAGGUUUUUCUGUUGUAAUUAGACCAUUAGUUAAUUUAUGGACAAAAAUGGGCAUAGAAUUAGUAAAAUAGAUUUUUUUUAAGUAAGGGUAUUUUAGUCAUUUAGUAAUAAAAAGAAAUAAAAUGGGAAAAAGAUGGAGAAAUGGUGUCAUCUUCUCCAUAGUUGCUGCCAAAUUUUGGAAGACACCAUAGCUAGGGUUUCUUUGCUUUCUCAAGCUCAUAGUAAGUGCAUCCUAGCCCCGUUUUUAAUGUUCUUCGCAUUUUUAAAAUCCUCGUAGCUCGGUUUAGCUUAUUUUAUCAAUAAUUCAUGUUAGGGUUCAUAUUUGGAAAAAUACCCAUAGGUGAAAUGUGUUUAUUUUGCUGUUUUAUGGUAGAAUAUGAAACUAUAAAUUAUGUUAAACAACUUUUGCUAAGCGAUUUUAAGCGAAAACGGGUAAAUAGACAUAAUCGGUAAAAAUAAUUAAUGUUCAAAAGUAUGUGUUAGAGUGGGAAUUUGAUGUUGCCAUAGAAGGGAAAAAUGUUCAGCAUGUCAUAAAACAUAAGAAUAAGAGAUGAAGUUUAAUUUCCGAGCUUGGGGACAAAAGUGUAAUUAUGCAAAAGUUUGGGGGCAAAAUUGUAAUUUUUCAAAAAGUUGGGUGGUGGAUUAUUUUAAUAAAUGUGAACAUUAAAUGAGUUAAAUUUGCCAUUAUAGAUCAAGAUAGACGAGAAGACUACCUCAAACGGGGAAAAGAGAAGAUAGUGGAGUAAAUUGCAAAAUUUCGAUAUUUUGCACCGAGGUAAGUAAACAUGUGAAAUAAUGCAUUAUUUUGAUAUUAUUUGAUAUGUGUUGAGAUUUAUUUGAACAUAGAAUAAAUAUUUGGCAAAGAUUCAAAAAAAAUGUGGCUCAGUGGGGAAAGGUGGUAAAGUGUUGAAAAACACGGUUUCCUGUUGAACACUCGGAAUAGGCCAGAUUACAUUGAAUAAAAAGGGGGUUGCUAAGUGCUGAUUCCCCCAAGGGGUUGCUAAGUGCUGAUUCCCCUAUUCAUUGGUGGUUGCUAAGUGCUGAUUCCACCGUAUCUUAAAUGUGAAGAGGGUUGCUAAGUGCUGAUUCCCCUGAGGGGUUGCUAAGUGCUGAUUCCCCGAAUCAUUGGUGGUUGCUAAGUGCUGAACCCACCGUAUCUUAAAUGUGAAAGGGGUUGCUAAGUGUUGAUUCCCCGACUCAUUGGUGGUUGCUAAGUGCUGAAUCCACUGAUAACGGUUAACAUUCCGAGUGUUCAACGAGUAAAUUGGGAAGGUGAAUAUUUAUAUGUGGUGGAAAAGUUUAUGGAAGAAAUAUUGGGUUUGAUACUUAAUCGACCCAUGUAUAGGAUGGGAGGAAAUAUGAAAAAUGCAAAAGAAACAAUUUAAAUACAAAACUCUAUUGAACAACAGCAGUUGGGAAACUUUGAAAAAUCACCAUAAAUGGUGGGAAAUGAAUUGGAGGUUGAAUAAUAUAUUAAAUUGAAGCUGGAUGAGUCUAUUUUCAUAUGAAAGAAAUAUAUCAAGCAAAAGAGUUGUAUAUUUGGGGAUAUUUGAAUUUUAUUGAGACAGGGUUGGAUUGAUUUCGAAAUCCCCUGUUCCAACUUUGGAAAAUCACCAAAAUUGUAUAAAAAUAUUUAUGACUUGAAAUUUAUAUGACUGGAUUCCUUAAUGAGUCUAGUUUUAAUAGAAACAAACGAGAACAUUGUUUGAAUUUUGUACAGAGAGUUAAGUAAAUUUUAGUAAAGGGAGGUCAGAACUGUCGGGCAGUGAAACAGGGGAAAGUUUAAAGAAUAAACUGUACUAAUUGGCUAAACCGAAAAUUCUAAAAAUUUUAUGGUGGUAAGGUAUAUGGGUCUCAUUUUGGGGAAAAUUUACAGAAUCCAAUUUGGAGCCCUGUAGCUCCAGAUAAAAAUAAAUUAGUGACCAUGACGCAGAAAAACAGCUUGCUGGAAAUUGAGCAAAUAAUGAAAUUUAUGUGUGAAUAAAAUUAUGUUACUAUGUAAUCAUGUGAGGAGUUUAUUUAUUUGUCAUAUGUUUACUUACUAAGCUAUAUGCUUACUCGUUUUUACUUUCCCUUGAUUAUAGUGACAUCAAUCAGCUCGGAACUUGGACGACGUCAGAUAAUCAUCCACACUAUCAUCAACUUUUUGGGUAUUUUGCAACUAAUACUUUGGAAACAUGGCAUGUAUAGAUGACUUUAUGUAUUGUGGUUUAAAUUUGUAUAUAUAUAGUAUGGUUUGGUUUAAAUGUUGGUGUUUGUUAAUGGAUAAAUUGUCCUUGAAUAUACAACUGUAUUGGGUUGGAAUAUUGAAUAUGUUUGAAAUUGUGUUUGAAAAAUUUG
This 9475-nucleotide long non-coding RNA is filed under the name Gossypium barbadense (sea-island cotton). Its description in RNAcentral is "long non-coding RNA (GBAR_LNC017947)". Lineage: Eukaryota; Viridiplantae; Streptophyta; Magnoliopsida; Malvales; Malvaceae. The record is from RNAcentral.